GUUUUGUUUCUAUAUGCAAUUCAUGAUUUCAUUUGUUUGAAUGUUGGUGAUUUCUGAUGUUCAUUCGGCGGGUCGACCCCCCUUCCUACGGGUUCCCCCACUGACCCAGUGACACACCAACCACGCCCCUUCCCUUUCUCUGAUCAUAAAGCCACCUAAUCCCUUUCCUUGUCUUUCAUCCCUCUGUCCCGUUCUUUCUAAUUCAACAAAAUAGGGAUAGGGGCGAAGCGCCCAUUUGAAGUGGUGAAGGUUAGCCAUUUGAACGAGUGGAGCAACGAGAACGAGUGGAGUUUACGAGCUUAAUAGGAGCUUACAAUAUCAAACAGCAAUAGAGUCAACGAGAACGAGUGGAUUUUACGAGC
Molecule: long non-coding RNA, 362 nt
Filed under: Amborella trichopoda
Lineage: Eukaryota; Viridiplantae; Streptophyta; Magnoliopsida; Amborellales; Amborellaceae
Description: long non-coding RNA (ATRI_LNC002330)
Source: RNAcentral